UAAAAAACUUCUUCUUCUGGGCACACCCACAUGUCAAUCUUAGGACUUCAUGAAAAGCAUGGAGCUAGUAAAUUUGAGUCCAACAACCACGAACACUAAAACUAGGCACUUUCGUUUUGAAAGCCCAAUAAUUUUUUCCAUGCACAAGUGGGGUGUGAUUAUCCAAAGGCCAACCCUUCCUCUUUUGUUCUCAUGCCCAAAUUCAUUACCAC
This 212-nucleotide long non-coding RNA is filed under the name Lupinus angustifolius (narrow-leaved blue lupine). Its description in RNAcentral is "long non-coding RNA (LANG_LNC002385)". Lineage: Eukaryota; Viridiplantae; Streptophyta; Magnoliopsida; Fabales; Fabaceae. The record is from RNAcentral.